GGUGGCUCAGUGGUAGAGUGAUUGCUUCAUAUGCAUGAGGCCCUGGGUUCAAUUCCUCAGCACCA
Molecule: transfer RNA, 65 nt
Filed under: Dipodomys ordii (Ord's kangaroo rat)
Lineage: Eukaryota; Metazoa; Chordata; Mammalia; Rodentia; Heteromyidae
Rfam family: tRNA
About the family: Transfer RNA (tRNA) molecules are approximately 80 nucleotides in length.
Source: Rfam by way of RNAcentral